GACGAACGCUGGCGGCGUGCUUAACACAUGCAAGUCGAACGGAAAGGCCCUGCCUUUGUGGGGUGCUCGAGUGGCGAACGGGUGAGUAACACGUGAGUAACCUGCCCUUGAGUUUGGGAUAACUUCAGGAAACUGGGGCUAAUACCGGAUAGGAGCUCCUGCUGCAUGGUGUGGGUUGGAAAGUUUCGGCGGUUGGGGAUGGACUUGCGGCUUAUCAGCUUGUUGGUGGGGUAGUGGUUUACCAAGGCUUUGACGGGUAGCCGGCCUGAGAGGGUGACCGGCCACAUAGGGACUGAGGUACGGGCCAGACUCCAACGGGAGGCAGCGGUGGAGAAUAUUGCGCAAUGGGCGGAAGCCUGAUACAGCAAUGCCGGGUGCUGAAGGACGGCUUUCGGGUUGUAAACCGCGUGCGCCUGUAACGAAGAGUGAGUGACGGUAACGUAUAAAAAAGCACCGGCUAACUACGUG
Molecule: ribosomal RNA, 468 nt
Filed under: uncultured bacterium
Lineage: Bacteria
Description: partial 16S ribosomal RNA
Rfam family: Bacterial small subunit ribosomal RNA
Source: RNAcentral